RNAcentral lists this ribosomal RNA (488 nucleotides) under uncultured bacterium. Its description in RNAcentral is "partial 16S ribosomal RNA". It matches the Rfam family "Bacterial small subunit ribosomal RNA", at positions 28 to 507 of the family's 1533-position model. The record is from RNAcentral.
GACGAACGCUGGCGGCGUGCUUAACACAUGCAAGUCGAACGGAAAGGCCCUGCUUUUGUGGGGUGCUCGAGUGGCGAACGGGUGAGUAACACGUGAGUAACCUGCCCUUGACUUUGGGAUAACUUCAGGAAACUGGGGCUAAUACCGGAUAGGAGCUCCUGCUGCAUGGUGGGGGUUGGAAAGUUUCGGCGGUUGGGGAUGGACUCGCGGCUUAUCAGCUUGAUGGUGGGGUAGUGGCUUACCAAGGCUUUGACGGGUAGCCGGCCUGAGAGGGUGACCGGCGGCCUGGGAAGUGGGACAACGACAAGACGACUGAGGAAGGGCGCAGUGUGGAAUGGGAGGCAGCGGUGGAAAAAAUGACAGAGCGAGACGACGUGUGAUACGGGGGCGCUCCGGGCGUGAUGACGGCUUAUGAGUGAUAAACCGAUUUCUAAUGUAAUGAAACGAGAGUGACGGUAACUGAUAAGGAAGCACCGGCUAACGACGUG